GGAUAUGAGGGUGAUCUGGCUGUGACAUCUGUCACUCCACUGAUAGCCAGGGUUGAUUCAGCUAACCUGGCUGUCUUGGUGGGUGUCCAGUUCCUCCCUCACUGCUCCAUGUGUGUCCUUCCUGAAGCUGGAAGCUGAGAGCUCAGUCGAAGAGGAUGACCUUCCCCAAAAGAGGAGGACCCUACUUUGGUCAAGGGUAUAUGAGUAGCUGCAUUCCCCUGGUAGAACCUCCAAACAAGUUCUCAAGGUCCAUAAACGGUGAUGACAUGAUUUCCAAGUCUGAGAGUGGAAAGAACAUUUCAUAAGAACAGGGCUUGACCUAGACAGUAUGAGAGCUUUCAAAGUACUGCUUU
This is an unclassified non-coding RNA of Marmota marmota marmota (Alpine marmot), 353 nucleotides long. Its record names the gene 7SK. It matches the Rfam family "7SK RNA". Rfam says of the family: 7SK was discovered as an abundant small nuclear RNA in the mid-70s but a possible function has only recently been suggested. Two independent studies have found that 7SK RNA binds the CDK9/cyclin T complex (known as elongation factor P-TEFb). The record is from Ensembl. NCBI's taxonomy places the organism in Eukaryota, Metazoa, Chordata, Mammalia, Rodentia, Sciuridae.